Molecule: ribosomal RNA, 497 nt
Filed under: uncultured bacterium
Lineage: Bacteria
Description: partial 16S ribosomal RNA
Rfam family: Bacterial small subunit ribosomal RNA
Source: RNAcentral
GAUGAACGCUGGCGGCGUGCCUAAUACAUGCAAGUCGAGCGAACAGAUAAGGAGCUUGCUCCUUUGACGUUAGCGGCGGACGGGUGAGUAACACGUGGGUAACCUACCUAUAAGACUGGGAUAACUUCGGGAAACCGGAGCUAAUACCGGAUAACAUUUGGAACCGCAUGGUUCUAAAGUGAAAGAUGGUUUUGCUAUCACUUAUAGAUGGACCCGCGCCGUAUUAGCUAGUUGGUAAGGUAACGGCUUACCAAGGCGACGAUACGAAGCCGACCUGAGAGGGUGAUCGGCCACACUGGAACUGAGACACGGUCCAGACUCCUACGGGAGGCAGCAGUAGGGAAUCUUCCGCAAUGGGCGAAAGCCUGACGGAGCAACGCCGCGUGAGUGAUGAAGGGUUUCGGCUCGUAAAACUCUGUUAUUAGGGAAGAACAAAUGUGUAAGUAACUGUGCACGUCUUGACGGUACCUAAUCAGAAAGCCACGGCUAACUACGUG